RNAcentral lists this ribosomal RNA (509 nucleotides) under uncultured bacterium. RNAcentral describes it as "partial 16S ribosomal RNA". It matches the Rfam family "Bacterial small subunit ribosomal RNA", at positions 28 to 507 of the family's 1533-position model. The record is from RNAcentral.
GACGAACGCUGGCGGCGUGCUUAACACAUGCAAGUCGAACGAAGAGCGAUGGAAGCUUGCUUCUAUCAGUUUUAGUGGCGAACGGGUGAGUAACGUGUAUUCAACCUGUCCUUCAGAGGGGGACAACAGUUGGAAACGACCUCUAAUACCGCAUACUAUCUAAUCUCGGCAUCGAGGAUAGAUGAAAGGUGGUCUCUACAUGUAAGCUAGCACUGAAGGAGGGGAUUGCGGCUGAUUAGCUAGUUGGUGGGGUACGGGCCUACCAAGGCAAUGAUCAGUAGCGGUCUGGAGAGAUGAACCGCCAACACGGGAAUGAGAAACCGGCCCAGAUUCCUAGGGGAGCAGCCAGUAGGGAAUCUCCGGCAAGGACCGAAGUCUGAACGGGCAAAGCCGGGUUGAGGAUGAAGGCCUUCCGGUUCGAAAGCUCUUUUUAUCAGGAAGAAACGACUUCUUACGAAUAGUGACAAGGAUUGACGGUACCGGAUCAGAAAGCCACGGCUAACUACGUG